RNAcentral lists this ribosomal RNA (328 nucleotides) under Clostridioides difficile. Its description in RNAcentral is "bacterial SSU rRNA". It matches the Rfam family "Bacterial small subunit ribosomal RNA", at positions 1194 to 1521 of the family's 1533-position model. Lineage: Bacteria; Bacillati; Bacillota; Clostridia; Peptostreptococcales; Peptostreptococcaceae. The record is from RNAcentral.
CAUGCCCCUUAUGCUUAGGGCUACACACGUGCUACAAUGGGUAGUACAGAGGGUUGCCAAGCCGUAAGGUGGAGCUAAUCCCUUAAAGCUACUCUCAGUUCGGAUUGUAGGCUGAAACUCGCCUACAUGAAGCUGGAGUUACUAGUAAUCGCAGAUCAGAAUGCUGCGGUGAAUACGUUCCCGGGUCUUGUACACACCGCCCGUCACACCACGGGAGUUGGAGACGCCCGAAGCCGAUUAUCUAACCUUUUGGAAGAAAUCGUCGAAGGUGGAAUCAAUAACUGGGGUGAAGUCGUAACAAGGUAGCCGUAUCGGAAGGUGCGGCUGG